Molecule: ribosomal RNA, 807 nt
Filed under: Triticum aestivum (bread wheat)
Lineage: Eukaryota; Viridiplantae; Streptophyta; Magnoliopsida; Poales; Poaceae
Description: partial small subunit ribosomal RNA
Source: RNAcentral
GAGGGAAGGGGUGAGAAAGAGGAGGAGGCGGCGGCGGGGGUAACCGAACCGGGAGAGAUCAAGGGCUGAAGGACGGGACGGGCGCGGCGCAGUGACAUAGGAGGAACAGGGUACGUGGCGGCGUCAGGAAGAGGACGGGGAGGUAACCUUGGUUGGCCUCUUGCAGACCUUCACCUCCUUUAGGGACGGACAGAGAGAUGUCCUAGACCUAGCCGAGGGCACUGAGAAGGAGGGAGACAACUAGGCCGUACCUCCAGUUUGGACCGCAGCCAAACAGAAUCGCCUCGCCGGCACACCACCGGCCAGAUGCCGUACCGAGUAACCUCCAUCGUCGCUGUCGCCGUAGCGUCAAAGGAAGGGGCAGGUACUCCGUGUGUAUGACCUUGUGCUGCCAGGUCGGUUGGAGACCGGAGACGAAGAAGGAGGGGCUGCCACGACACCUUGGUUGCGACCCAAGGUGAUGGGGACUGGCACCGGAUUGUGCGUACUUGACUUCUAUUCAAUAAGAUAAAGAAGGAAUUUCACUCUAGCAAACGAAGAGACCAGGUCAAGAUCAUUAAACAUGUUCCGGAAUCGAACAACAGUCCCUCCUUGAAAGUAGAGUAACGAUUUUGAACCCAUUUGACACCCGUAUGUUUUAUGUAGAAACAAAAACAACGGAAUGUUUGUACCUACACUUGUUUGGCUUACAACCGUUUGUUAGCAUAUAGGUAAAAGUGAAUAAUACUAUAAAGACUUUCACUUUCCCUGAUUCCUAUCGUGUCUCUCGUCUCUCGUGUGUCCAAUACAACCUUUUUAACCAGCUUC